CCUACGGGUGGCAGCAGUGAGGAAUAUUGGUCAAUGGACGAGAGUCUGAACCAGCCAAGUAGCGUGAAGGAUGACUGCCCUAUGGGUUGUAAACUUCUUUUAUAUGGGAAUAAAAUGUUCCACGUGUGGGAUUUUGUAUGUACCAUAUGAAUAAGGAUCGGCUAACUCCGUGCCAGCAGCCGUGGUAAUACGGAGGAUCCGAGCGUUAUCCGGAUUUAUUGGGUUUAAAGGGAGCGUAGGUGGAUUGUUAAGUCAGUUGUGAAAGUUUGCGGCUCAACCGUAAAAUUGCAGUUGAAACUGGCAGUCUUGAGUACAGUAGAGGUGGGCGGAAUUCGUGGUGUAGCGGUGAAAUGCUUAGAUAGCACGAAGAACUCCGAUUGCGAAGGCAGUUCACUGGACUGCAACUGACACUGAGGCUCGAAAGUGUGGGUAUCAAACAGGAUUAGAUACCCCUGUAGUC
Molecule: ribosomal RNA, 460 nt
Filed under: uncultured bacterium
Lineage: Bacteria
Description: partial 16S ribosomal RNA
Rfam family: Bacterial small subunit ribosomal RNA
Source: RNAcentral